RNAcentral lists this ribosomal RNA (773 nucleotides) under uncultured Neocallimastigales. RNAcentral's name for it is "partial large subunit ribosomal RNA". It matches the Rfam family "Eukaryotic large subunit ribosomal RNA", at positions 23 to 633 of the family's 3401-position model. Lineage: Eukaryota; Fungi; Neocallimastigomycota; Neocallimastigomycetes; Neocallimastigales. The record is from RNAcentral.
AGAGAGAGACAUGCGCGCAUAUCAAUAAGCGGAGGAAAAGAAACUAACAAGGAUUCCCCUAGUAACGGCGAGUGAAGCGGGAAGAGCUCAAAUUUGAAAUCUUAAAGGGUUUCCCUUACGAAUUGUAGUUUAAAGAAGUGUUUUCUGUUGAGGUUUUGGUAAAAGUUCUUUGGAAUAGGACAUCAUAGAGGGUGAGAAUCCCGUAUUUGACCUUUACUUUCAACUUUGUGAUACACUUUCAAAGAGUCGGAUUGUUUGGGAAUGCAGUCCAAAAUGGGUGGUAAAUUUCAUCUAAAGCUAAAUAUUGGCGAGAGACCGAUAGCGAACAAGUACCGUGAGGGAAAGAUGAAAAGAACUUUGAAAAGAGAGUUAAACAGUACGUGAAAUUGUCAAAAGGGAAGCGUUUGACACCAGUGUUGUUUUUCUGAAAAUCAAUUAAAGAACUGUUUAUGCUAAGUUGUUUAGACUUUAUCAGCUAACUGUUUAGUUUUGAGCUUUUCUUUAAUGCACUUUUCAGUUAACAAGUCAACAUCAAUUUCUUUUGCUGUAAAAAAGCUUGAGGAAGGUGGCUUGAGAUUCGUCUUAAGUGUUUAUAGCCUCUUGCCUAUGCAGUCGGAGAGAUUGAGGUCUGCAGCGUAGAUCCUUCGGGGCUAAAUGCAUUUGUGCUAAGUUAUAGCAUUUUAUAGACAACUUGUUGACUAUGAUUUGUCUUGUAGCUUACUCGCUUAUGUUAUUUUACCUACGCUUAGGAUGUUGAAGACUCUACAGAGAUA